This 440-nucleotide ribosomal RNA is filed under the name uncultured bacterium. Its description in RNAcentral is "partial 16S ribosomal RNA". It matches the Rfam family "Bacterial small subunit ribosomal RNA", at positions 338 to 795 of the family's 1533-position model. The record is from RNAcentral.
CCUACGGGAGGCUGCAGUGGGGAAUCUUGCACAAUGGGCGAAACCCUGAUGCAGCGACGCCGCGUGAGUGAAGAAGUACUUCGUUAUGUAAAGCUCUAUCAGCAGGGAAGAAAAUGACGGUACCUGAGUAAGAAGCCCUCGCUAACGACGUGCCAGCAGCCGCGGGAAUACGUAGGGGGCAAGCGUUAUCCGGAUUUACUGGGUGGAAAGGGAGCGUAGACGGCCGUGCAAGUCUGGAGUGAAAGGCGGGGGCUCAACCCCCGGAGUGCUCUGGAAACUGUACGGCUGGAGUGCAGGAGAGGGAAGUGGAAUUCCUAGUGUAGCGGUGAAAUGCGUAGAUAUUAGGAGGAACACCAGUGGCGAAGGCGGCUUACUGGACUGUAACUGACGUUGAGGCUCGAAAGCGUGGGGAGCAAACAGGAUUAGAUACCCCGGUAGUC